AGACAGACAGGUGUAAUCAGUAACCCACCACAGAGAGACAGACAGGUGUAAUCAGUCACCCACCACAGACAGACAGACAGGUGUAAUCAGUAACCCAACACAGACAGACAGACAGGUGUAAUCAGUAACCCACCACAGAGAGACAGACAGGUGUAAUCAGUAACCCACCACAGACAGACAGACGGACAGGUGUAAUCAGUAACCCACCACAGAGAGACAGACAAGUGUAAUCAGUAACCCACCACAGACAGACAGACAGACAGGUGUAAUCAGUAACCCACCACAGACAGACAGACAGGUGUAAUCAGUAACCCACCACAGACAGACAGACAGGUGUAAUCAGUAACCCACCACAGAGAGACAGACAGGUGUAAUCAG
This is a long non-coding RNA of Oncorhynchus tshawytscha (Chinook salmon), 378 nucleotides long. NCBI's taxonomy places the organism in Eukaryota, Metazoa, Chordata, Actinopteri, Salmoniformes, Salmonidae. The record is from Ensembl.